Oryzias melastigma (Indian medaka) is the source of this 302-nucleotide long non-coding RNA. RefSeq lists it as uncharacterized. The record is from RefSeq and is a predicted model, not a curated record. Lineage: Eukaryota; Metazoa; Chordata; Actinopteri; Beloniformes; Adrianichthyidae. The transcript has 3 exons.
CUUCAAAAUGAGGAGAAGCCUAGGAAAGCAUGACUGGGUCAAUGUGAAACGGCAGCCUGGAGGUGUAACUCACACCUUCCAACAGGACUCAAGCAGGUGUUUGUGAUGCUGAUGGCAAAGAUUGCCAUUUCAUCUUUCCCAGAAGUCCCACAGACAUUUGACGUCGAGUCCUCAAAUAAAUCCAUGAAAAGGUUUAGAAGAAACAUUGCUGAAGACAUCAUGAAAGGAUCAGUACAUUUGAAGUGUCACGGGAUGAAUAUUGCUCUCUCUGAAAGAUCUUCCAAAAGGGGAUGAGAAGACAU